AUGAUGAGGGAUAUACCAUAUGUAAUGUGCAACAAGAAUGAUUUUUGCCUUAUGCAUAGAACUUUGAGUGAAAGGGACGAAUCAAAAAGGCCUAAGUAGUUUAAGUUCUCUGUAUGCCUGGCUAUCUCUUGACAAUUUUGGCUGGUGCAUAGAUCCUCUUGGGACCAAAUCAGAAUUAGGUUAUUCGUUCAAGCCUUUUCUUUUUGGUAGCAAUUUUUAUGGUUUCUAUGGUUUUGCCAGGUAUUUCACUUUUCUGCUGUUCUUGCUUGCAGCUAUUUUAUCACUCCCAACAUAAACAAUACCAGCAAUAAUGAUUUGAUAUGUCAAACUGCUUUGUUGUCAGACUGGUAAAUAGACAUGACAACAGGAGUUGGAAUGAGAUGCAUAUCAUGAAUGGCUUUUAAUUUGAUUAAAUGCAGAUAAUUUCUACUCAUCCAUAUAAGAUGUAUUGGUCCAUUCAUGCAUGCUUAAAAACUGUCAUUGUGUGUACAAACUUUUUAUAAUUUACCCAUAAAGAAAUGCAGUGUAUUUUCACCAUCUAAUGUUUGUGUGUGUGAUAAUAUUUUCCCCUAUGGCAGAGAGUGGGUUUCAUUUUUUUAAGAGUCUAAACUCUAAAGAGUUGGCAUGCUCUUGUUAAGGUAGAAAGUUUUAAUAUAAAAACUAAUAAUAGCACCAGUUCAAUGCUUCUAUAGUCCCCCACAUGCAAUAUAAGUUCGAUUAUGCAUGGAAGCG
RNAcentral lists this long non-coding RNA (732 nucleotides) under Phoenix dactylifera (date palm). RNAcentral's name for it is "long non-coding RNA (PDAC_LNC018858)". The record is from RNAcentral. Lineage: Eukaryota; Viridiplantae; Streptophyta; Magnoliopsida; Arecales; Arecaceae.